CACUGAACUAUCAGAAGUCAGCAGAGGUCAUAGUAACUCCGCUAAUCGCGAUAGCGGAUGAAGGAC
RNAcentral lists this non-coding RNA (66 nucleotides) under Clostridium neonatale. Lineage: Bacteria; Bacillati; Bacillota; Clostridia; Eubacteriales; Clostridiaceae. The record is from RNAcentral.